Haemorhous mexicanus (house finch) is the source of this 1393-nucleotide long non-coding RNA. RefSeq lists it as uncharacterized. Lineage: Eukaryota; Metazoa; Chordata; Aves; Passeriformes; Fringillidae. The record is from RefSeq and is a predicted model, not a curated record. The transcript has 2 exons.
AGUUCAAAGCUGUGCUCACAGAGACGGCUUCUUCUACUGGAGUCUUCAGGUACAUAGGAAUUCAGUUGUAAAUAAAGUUGAACCUAAAAUUAAAAGGAUUAUACCAGGUAGGUGACAGAAAUACUUUCCUGAGGAAGAGCCGGCAGGCUGUCGGACUCCUGGCAUGCCUGAACAUUCUCUCAAGUAAGAGACCAGUGGGACUAAUGAGCUCUGGAGAGACGAGCCACAAGUCAUUUCAUGUCCCUACAGAUAUUUGUGUGAGAAAGACGCUACACUUCAUUAACUCUACUAGAGAGUGUAAAAACCCACCACAUUUAACCAGCACAAAGCUGUGAUAACAUGCAUACCUAACUCAGAGCUUCAAACUCACAUCCUGGCUUUAACUCUCCAGCUGUUCCCAACAGCUCCAAGAAGCUGUUCCUCAAUCUGUGCACAGACUCAUUCUUCUCACUGCCUUCCAUAUCUUCCUUAGCUACAACUGCUAGCCAGUUGUGAUCAGUGCCUCCAAAGUGUUCAUCCAGCUCAUAAGAAGCAGAAUCUUUGGUGACAGAUGUCACCUUUUCAAGUUGGUUUCUGUAGCACCUUGCCUUGCUCUGGUGUCCCACAGCAAACAUGUUCCCAAGAACCACUAUACAAGUACAACAUACCUGCUCAAAAGUUGAGGAAGGCUGGAAAUAAUAGGUCCAUAUCCUGGUGCAUUGUCAUAGAGCUCAAACAAUGGUGCAGCAACCAGCUUGUAAUUUUUGGGGACUGCAAACAAAGCUAAAAACAAAUACAAGUUGAUGAAUCAGGAAAACCAGCACACAUACAGCCAAGGUAUCAUCGUCCCCCAGAGACUUCAAAACAAGUUCACUACAUGGAGCACUCAAGCAGGUUUAUUCCUUUUCUAGUUAAAUAUGGGAUUCACAUCCUGUACACAGAUUGAUGCAGGAGCAAGAAUGAAAAUUUACUACGAACUCAUGUUCAAAGGAUCAUCUACCUUCAAAACAAAUACCAGCAUUUAACUUUGUUAGUGAUCAACCACAAACAACUGCAAGCAUACACAUCUUGGUUUAACAUACCGUAACAAACACAAUCACAACUUUGUUUUCCUUGGGUGAAAUGCACGCAUUUAAACAUUGUUACAAAUACAACCCUUUGAUGCAAACAAACACUUACCCUUUUCUUGAAGCUGGACCAAAAACAGCUUUUUGUGUUCUUUCGGCUUUGUUAUAUGAGCUGGGAUGUAUGGGUACUAGAAGAAAAAUGGUAAAAAACAGUUGUAUAGAGCUUUGAAAAUAUUGUGUAAUUUUAAGUGCCACUUUAUAAAUUAUCUAGCCCUGUACAAGCUUUCAGUGUGUCAUAUAUUGUUCUUUCAUGGCAUCAAAUAAAGAAAACCAUUUUCCUAAGAAAG